Molecule: ribosomal RNA, 433 nt
Filed under: uncultured bacterium
Lineage: Bacteria
Description: partial 16S ribosomal RNA
Rfam family: Bacterial small subunit ribosomal RNA
Source: RNAcentral
AACGAACGCUGGCGGCAUGCCUAACACAUGCAAGUCGAACGAGACGUUCGGGUCGAGGCGCGCACGGGUGCGUAACGCGUGGAAACCUGCCCUUGUGUUCGGAAUAACUCCCCGACAGGGAUUCUAAUCCCGUAUACUGUCUUCGGGCAAAAGAUUUAUCGCCUUUGGAUGGGCCCGCGUAGGAUUAGCUAGUUGGUAGGGUAAAAGCCUACCAAGGCGACGAUCCAUAGCUGGUCUGAGAGGAUGACCAGCCACACUGGGACUGAGACACGGCCCAGACUCCUACGGGAGGCAGCAGUGGGGAAUAUUGGACAAUGGGCGCAAGCCUGAUCCAGCCAUGCCGCGUGAGUGAUGAAGGCCUUAGGGUUGUAAAGCUCUUUUGGCCGGGAUGAUAAUGACGGUACCGGGAGAAUAAGCCCCGGCUAACUCCGUG